GUGCAAGGCGGCUGCUUUAACAUGCAGUCGAACGGCAGCACGGGGGCAACCCUGGUGGCGAGUGGAGAACGGGUGAGUAAUGCAUCGGAACGUGUCUUUAAGUGGGGGAUAACGCACCGAAAGGUGUGCUAAUACCGCAUAAUCUCUACGGAGAAAAGCAGGGGAUCGCAAGACCUUGCGCUUUUGGAGCGGCCGAUGUCUGAUUAGCUAGUUGGUGAGGUAAAGGCUUACCAAGGCGUCGAUCAGUAGCUGGUCUGAGAGGACGACCAGCCACACUGGGACUGAGACACGGCCCAGACUCCUACGGGAGGCAGCAGUGGGGAAUUUUGGACAAUGGGGGAAACCCUGAUCCAGCCAUGCCGCGUGAGUGAAGAAGGCCUUCGGGUUGUAAAGCUCUUUCAGCCGGAACGAAACGGUCACAGCUAAUACCUGUGACUACUGACGGUACCGGAAGAAGAAGCACCGGCUAACUACGUGCCAGCAGCCGCGGUAAUACGUAGGGUGCGAGCGUUAAUCGGAAUUACUGGGCGUAAAGCGUGCGCAGGCGGUUUUGUAAGUCAGAUGUGAAAUCCCCGGGCUUAACCUGGGAACUGCGUUUGAAACUACAAGGCUAGAGUGUGGCAGAGGGGGGUGGAAUUCCACGUGUAGCAGUGAAAUGCGUAGAGAUGUGGAGGUACACCGAUGGCGAAGGCAGCCCCCUGGGUUAACACUGACGCUCAGGCACGAAAGCGUGGGGAGCAAACAGGAUUAGAUACCCUGGUAGUCCACGCCCUAAACGAUGUCAACUAGUUGUCGGGUCUUAACGGACUUGGUAACGCAGCUAACGCGUGAAGUUGACCGCCUGGGGAGUACGGUCGCAAGAUUAAAACUCAAAGGAAUUGACGGGGACCCGCACAAGCGGUGGAUUAUGUGGAUUAAUUCGAUGCAACGCGAAAAACCUUACCUACCCUUGACAUGUACCGAAGCCCGCUGAGAGGUGGGUGUGCCCGAAAGGGAGCGGUACACAGUGCUGCAUGG
RNAcentral lists this ribosomal RNA (1017 nucleotides) under uncultured bacterium. RNAcentral describes it as "bacterial SSU rRNA". It matches the Rfam family "Bacterial small subunit ribosomal RNA", at positions 33 to 1048 of the family's 1533-position model. The record is from RNAcentral.